CGGCCUGGGCUACACACGUGCUACAAUGGUCGGUACAAAGGGUUGCCAAGCCGCGAGGUGGAGCUAAUCCCAUAAAACCGAUCGUAGUCCGGAUCGCAGUCUGCAACUCGACUGCGUGAAGUCGGAAUCGCUAGUAAUCGUGAAUCAGAAUGUCACGGUGAAUACGUUCCCGGGCCUUGUACACACCGCCCGUCACACCAUGGGAGUGGGUUGCUCCAGAAGUAGCUAGUCUAACCUUCGGGAGGACGGUUACCACGGAGUGAUUCAUGACUGGGGUGAAGUCGUAACAAGGUAGCCGUAGGGGAACCUGCGGCUGGAUCACCUCCUUA
Molecule: ribosomal RNA, 329 nt
Filed under: Arenimonas sp.
Lineage: Bacteria; Pseudomonadati; Pseudomonadota; Gammaproteobacteria; Lysobacterales; Lysobacteraceae
Description: bacterial SSU rRNA
Rfam family: Bacterial small subunit ribosomal RNA
Source: RNAcentral